This 27-nucleotide non-coding RNA is filed under the name Homo sapiens (human). Lineage: Eukaryota; Metazoa; Chordata; Mammalia; Primates; Hominidae. The record is from RNAcentral.
UGGCAAAGAUAGUGAUAAUGUAGAUGC